UGGGGAAUUUUGGACAAUGGGCGCAAGCCUGAUCCAGCCAUGCCGCGUGCGGGAAGAAGGCCUUCGGGUUGUAAACCGCUUUUGUCAGGGAAGAAAUCUUCUGAGUUAAUACCUCGGGAGGAUGACGGUACCUGAAGAAUAAGCACCGGCUAACUACGUGCCAGCAGCCGCGGUAAUACGUAGGGUGCAAGCGUUAAUCGGAAUUACUGGGCGUAAAGCGUGCGCAGGCGGUUUUGUAAGACAGAGGUGAAAUCCCCGGGCUCAACCUGGGAACUGCCUUUGUGACUGCAAGGCUUGAGUGCGGCAGAGGGGGGAUGGAAUUCCGCGUGUAGCAGUGAAAUGCUAGAUAUGCGGAGGAACACCGAUGGCGAAGGCAAUCCCCUGGGGCCUGCACUGACGCUCAUGCACGAAAGCGUGGGGAGCAAACAGGAUUAGAUACCCUGGUAGUCCACGCCCUAAACGAUGUCAACUGGUUGUUGGGAAGGUUCCUUCUCAGUAACGUAGCUAACGCGUGAAGUUGACCGCCUGGGGAGUACGGCCGCAAGGUUG
RNAcentral lists this ribosomal RNA (549 nucleotides) under uncultured bacterium. Its description in RNAcentral is "partial 16S ribosomal RNA". It matches the Rfam family "Bacterial small subunit ribosomal RNA", at positions 355 to 896 of the family's 1533-position model. The record is from RNAcentral.